Molecule: microRNA precursor, 98 nt
Filed under: Otolemur garnettii (small-eared galago)
Lineage: Eukaryota; Metazoa; Chordata; Mammalia; Primates; Galagidae
Description: mir-544 microRNA precursor family
Rfam family: mir-544 microRNA precursor family
Source: Rfam by way of RNAcentral
AUCACCUGGGGAGCUUAUUAAAAUGCAGAUUUUGAUUCAUUAGGUCUGGGAUGGGACCUGAGAUUUUGCUUUUCUAAUAAGCUCCCAGGUGAUGUCCC